GCGAAAGUAGUUCAGUGGUAGAACAUCACCUUGCCAUGGUGGGGGUCGCGGGUUCGAAUCCCGUCUUCCGCUCCA
This 75-nucleotide transfer RNA is filed under the name Lactobacillus gasseri. Its description in RNAcentral is "tRNA-Gly". It matches the Rfam family "tRNA". From Rfam's summary of the family: Transfer RNA (tRNA) molecules are approximately 80 nucleotides in length. Lineage: Bacteria; Bacillati; Bacillota; Bacilli; Lactobacillales; Lactobacillaceae. The record is from RNAcentral.